GUAGUCACGGCCGAGCGGUUAAGGCGGUGGACUAGAAAUCCAUUGGGGUCUCCCCGCCCAGGUUUGAAUCCUGCCGACUAUG
RNAcentral lists this transfer RNA (82 nucleotides) under Ovis aries (sheep). Its description in RNAcentral is "tRNA-Ser (AGA) (tRNA-Ser-AGA-8-1)". It matches the Rfam family "tRNA". From Rfam's summary of the family: Transfer RNA (tRNA) molecules are approximately 80 nucleotides in length. Their secondary structure includes four short double-helical elements and three loops (D, anti-codon, and T loops). Further hydrogen bonds mediate the characteristic L-shaped molecular structure. tRNAs have two regions of fundamental functional importance: the anti-codon, which is responsible for specific mRNA codon recognition, and the 3' end, to which the tRNAs corresponding amino acid is attached (by aminoacyl-tRNA synthetases). tRNAs cope with the degeneracy of the genetic code in two manners: having more than one tRNA (with a specific anti-codon) for a particular amino acid; and 'wobble' base-pairing, i.e. permitting non-standard base-pairing at the 3rd anti-codon position. The record is from Rfam by way of RNAcentral. Lineage: Eukaryota; Metazoa; Chordata; Mammalia; Artiodactyla; Bovidae.